RNAcentral lists this ribosomal RNA (252 nucleotides) under uncultured bacterium. RNAcentral's name for it is "partial 16S ribosomal RNA". It matches the Rfam family "Bacterial small subunit ribosomal RNA", at positions 524 to 776 of the family's 1533-position model. The record is from RNAcentral.
UACAGAGGUCCCAAGCGUUGUUCGGAUUUACUGGGCGUAAAGGGUGCGUAGGUGGCGGGGUAAGUCUGGUGUGAAAGCUCCGAGCUCAACUCGGAAAAGCAUUGGAAACUAUCCCGCUGGAGGGUCGGAGGGGAGACUGGAAUUCUCGGUGUAGCAGUGAAAUGCGUAGAUAUCGAGAGGAACACCAGUGGCGAAGGCGAGUCUCUGGACGACUCCCGACACUGAGGCACGAAAGCUAGGGGAGCAAACAGG